GAUGAACGCUGGCGGCGUGCCUAAUACAUGCAAGUCGAGCGAACAGACGAGGAGCUUGCUCCUUUGACGUUAGCGGCGGACGGGUGAGUAACACGUGGGUAACCUACCUAUAAGACUGGGAUAACUUCGGGAAACCGGAGCUAAUACCGGAUAAUAUUUCGAACCGCAUGGUUCGAUAGUGAAAGAUGGCUCUGCUAUCACUUAUAGAUGGACCUGCGCCGUAUUAGCUAGUUGGUAAGGUAACGGCUUACCAAGGCAACGAUACGUAGCCGACCUGAGAGGGUGAUCGGCCACACUGGAACUGAGACACGGUCCAGACUCCUACGGGAGGCAGCAGUAGGAAAUCUUCCGCAAUGGGCGAAAGCCUGACGGAGCAACGCCGCGUGAGUGAUGAAGGUCUUCGGAUCGUAAAACUCUGUUAUUAGGGAAGAACAAACGUGUAAGUAACUGUGCACGUCUUGACGGUACCUAAUCAGAAAGCCACGGCUAACUACGUG
Molecule: ribosomal RNA, 497 nt
Filed under: uncultured bacterium
Lineage: Bacteria
Description: partial 16S ribosomal RNA
Rfam family: Bacterial small subunit ribosomal RNA
Source: RNAcentral